RNAcentral lists this ribosomal RNA (250 nucleotides) under uncultured prokaryote. RNAcentral describes it as "partial 16S ribosomal RNA". It matches the Rfam family "Bacterial small subunit ribosomal RNA", at positions 524 to 773 of the family's 1533-position model. The record is from RNAcentral.
UACGGAAGGUCCGGGCGUUACCCGGAUUUAUUGGGUUUAAAGGGAGCGCAGGCUGAUUAUUAAGCGUGACGUGAAAUGUAGCCGCUCAACGGCCUAACUGCGUCGCGAACUGGUAGUCUUGAGUGAGUUCGAUGUAGGCGGAAUUCGUGGUGUAGCGGUGAAAUGCUUAGAUAUCACGAAGAACUCCGAUUGCGAAGGCAGCCUACAAGGCCUUUACUGACGCUAAAGCUCGAAGGUGCGGGUAUCGAAC